This is a long non-coding RNA of Acanthopagrus latus (yellowfin seabream), 1074 nucleotides long. RefSeq lists it as uncharacterized. NCBI's taxonomy places the organism in Eukaryota, Metazoa, Chordata, Actinopteri, Spariformes, Sparidae. The transcript is spliced from 2 exons. The record is from RefSeq and is a predicted model, not a curated record.
AUCACUGUCUUCCCCUUCAUCAUCCUGCCUCAUGCGGAGCUGCCGUUCCCAGUCAACAUCGACGGUGUUAGCUUCGCGACUUCACAACAUAGAAACACUGCAUUACCCAGAGUUCACAGCGGGUGACAGUUGCCUUUGGACGAAGAGUCAGAGACAGGACAUAGGCUACAGUAUUAUACAACAUGUAGCUGGGCUUAUCAGACUCCCAGCACUCCCACAAAACACUCCUGGCUGACCCUCCACUGAUUCAGCUUCGCUCCACAAAUUUGGGGGAGAACUGUCCAAAAGGCCAUCCACUCAUCACAUGCGCUUAUCGUGAAUGGACAGUGGCAGAACCCAUCAACCCUCUGCACUAAUUAAGCUCUCCGUUCACCUGUCAAUCACAAUCAGCUGCUGAUGUUUCAGUGAAGAAAAAGUUAUCGAGAUAAAAGACGAGGGAAAGGACUCAUUGCUCAUCGCUGCAUUAUUGUGGACAUCGUCAUUGACUGCAGCAAUUUUUCUGGAUUCUAACUCACAUAGUGUCUGUUCACCUGGUUUCCUCCUCUCCAUGCGUCCAUGAGGGUGUCAGUAUUUGUUUUGUUCUGUUAUUAAUCCACUGUAGUCUGCAUUGCAUUGCCACAAUAAUGUUUCGAGUGACAAGGCACAAGUGAACAAAGUCAGAUGAUAACACAACAGAUGUAACUAAGGGCAUCUUGGCCUGAUGACUUCACAGCACUUAAACUAGUGUAUACAGUCAGUUUCUUUUACAGUAACAGUUAUGGUUCUCCUCUUGGUUAUGUAGAUUCAUGUUUUGUAUAUUUUCAGUAUCUCCUUGCAUCUUCUAUUCACUGUAGGAAAUCAAAAUGUCUUAUACUGAAAAUGACAUAGAACAGUAUGGCAUGAUGAUGUGGUUUGUAUGGCGUGCUUGUACGGUAUAUCCCCCCACUUAGUCCUUUUCAAUAUAGUAUCUUCAAAUCUUGUCUUUUUACCUGCCUAUGUUGCACUAUAUUGUCCAAAGAGAGUAUUAUUCUGUAUCUGCCAUGUCCUAGUUGUGAUGACAAUAAAGUUCUAGUUGACUUAAAUUUGAUUUGAAAA